UGCGGCUGGAUCACCUGAGUUUGAUCCUGGCUCAGAUUGAACGCUGGCGGCAGGCUUAACACAUGCAAGUCGAGCGGGGGAAGGUAGCUUGCUACUGGACCUAGCGGCGGACGGGUGAGUAAUGCUUAGGAAUCUGCCUAUUAGUGGGGGACAACAUCUCGAAAGGGAUGCUAAUACCGCAUACGUUCUACGGGAGAAAGCAGGGGACCUUCGGGCCUUGCGCUAAUAGAUGAGCCUAAGUCGGAUUAGCUAGUUGGUGGGGUAAAGGCCUACCAAGGCGACGAUCUGUAGCGGGUCUGAGAGGAUGAUCCGCCACACUGGGACUGAGACACGGCCCAGACUCCUACGGGAGGCAGCAGUGGGGAAUAUUGGACAAUGGGGGGAACCCUGAUCCAGCCAUGCCGCGUGUGUGAAGAAGGCCUUUUGGUUGUAAAGCACUUUAAGCGAGGAGGAGGCUACUAAGAUUAAUACUCUUGGAUAGUGGACGUUACUCGCAGAAUAAGCACCGGCUAACUCUGUGCCAGCAGCCGC
Molecule: ribosomal RNA, 531 nt
Filed under: uncultured Acinetobacter sp.
Lineage: Bacteria; Pseudomonadati; Pseudomonadota; Gammaproteobacteria; Moraxellales; Moraxellaceae
Description: bacterial SSU rRNA
Rfam family: Bacterial small subunit ribosomal RNA
Source: RNAcentral